RNAcentral lists this ribosomal RNA (470 nucleotides) under uncultured bacterium. RNAcentral's name for it is "bacterial SSU rRNA". It matches the Rfam family "Bacterial small subunit ribosomal RNA", at positions 28 to 491 of the family's 1533-position model. The record is from RNAcentral.
GAUGAACGCUGGCGGCAGGCUUAAUACAUGCAAGUCGAACGGUAACAUGUCGGAGCAAUCUGAUGAUGACGAGUGGCGCACGGGUGCGUAACGCGUAUGCAACCUACCCAUAACCGGAACAUAACGUUGAGAAAUCGGCGCUAAUAUUCCAUGUGUAUAUUUUGUGGCAUCAUAGGAUAUAUAAAGAUUAAUUGGUUAUGGAUGGGCAUGCGUAUCAUUAGCUAGUUGGUAGGGUAACGGCCUACCAAGGCUGCGAUGAUUAGGGGUUCUGAGAGGAUAACCCCCCACACUGGAACUGAGACACGGUCCAGACUCCUACGGGAGGCAGCAGUAGGGAAUAUUGGGCAAUGGAGGCAACUCUGACCCAGCCAUGCCGCGUGAAGGAAGACGGUCCUAUGGAUUGUAAACUUCUUUUAUCAUAGAGUAACCGCAGGGACGUGUCCCUGCCUGCAAGUAUAUGAUGAAUAAGC